UGGGGACACCUAUCUGGCAUCUUGAGAAUCUUUUACCUCAUCAGUUUGUUGUGCGCCUACGUUCAUAGUAAAUACAAAGCAACUCCAUCAUGUCUUUUGUGUGUGUGUACUUGUUCAGCUACUUGACAGCUAUUAUACAGGAGAAUAUCUCCACGUUUAUAUGACAAUUGUAAUAUUUAAGCAAGGGUUGUAAGGUACCACCUAUUA
This 207-nucleotide long non-coding RNA is filed under the name Elaeis guineensis (African oil palm). RNAcentral describes it as "long non-coding RNA (EGUI_LNC031180)". The record is from RNAcentral. Lineage: Eukaryota; Viridiplantae; Streptophyta; Magnoliopsida; Arecales; Arecaceae.